CUGAUAGUGUUGACAGAAGAACAAUGUUUACUAUAGUUAAAGCUGCUUUAUUUGCACAGUUUCUGAUAAAUUAUGGUAAGAUAAUAUAUUUUACUGACAUUUUCUUUGCAUAUGUACAUUAUGAUUUCUUAUAAGGAGCUACAAUCUUUAUCUCCGUGAGUAAAUUAAUUUGUUUUGAUAGACAAAUCGUCAAAAACGUACUGUUAAAAUAUGUACACAAAGUGGAGUAAACAUCUUCAAUGUAUAUAUUAUUAUGUAAGUGCAUGAAAUAAUUUCCAUUGGACGUUAAGGGAUCAACAAUAAAUAAUCAAUGUAUAUACAUAUAAAAACAUUGUGCAAAGUUUAAAAUUCAGGUUGAACACUGAUGGGGGACUUGAAUAUCUUUUUUACCGGAAGCCUUUUCGCUCAGCCGACUGACCAACCAAAUAAAUGAUAUACAAGACCUAGUUGUACCAAAAUCUUUGUAACUUUCAUGUGCAGCUAUAAAGUAACCAUUUGUAAAAUGUUUCGACUGAGCCGAUAAAGAGUUUUGGUUGAUCCACUAAAGUUUCUCGACUGAACUGAUAAAGAGUUUUAGUUGAUCCACUAAAGUUUCUCGACUGAACUGAUAAAGAGUUUUGGUUGAUCCACUAAAGUUUCUCGACUGAUCCGAUAAAGAGUUUUAGUUGAUCCACUAAAGUUUCUCGACUGAUCCGAUAAGAGUUUUAGUUGAUCCACUAAAGUUUUCUCGACUGAUCCGAUAAAGAGUUUAGUUGAUCCACUAAAGUUUUCGACUGAUCGAUAAAGAGUUUUAGUUACUAAAGUUUUCGACUGAUCCGAUAAAGAGUUUUAGUUGAUCCACUAAAGUUUCUCGACUGAUCCGAUAAAGAGUUUUAGUUGAUCCACUAAAGUUUCUCGACUGAUCCGAUAAAGGUUUUUAGUUGAUCCACUAAAGUUUCUCGACUGAUCCGAUAAAGAGUUUUAGUUGAUCCACUAAAGUUUCUCGACUGAUCCGAUAAAGAGUUUUAGUUAGUUGAUCCACUAAAGUGUCUCGACUGAUCCGAUAAAGAGUUUUAGUUGAUCCACUAAAGUGUCUCGACUGAUCCGAUAAAGAGUUUUGGUUGAUCCUAAAGUUUCUCGACUGAUCCGAUAAAGAGUUUUAGUUAGUUGAUCCACUAAAGUGUCUCGACUGAUCGAUAAGAGUUUUAGUUUAUCCACUAAAGUGUCUCGACUGAUCCGAUAAAGAGUUUUGGUUGAUCCACUAAAGUGUCUCGACUGAUCCGAUAAAGAGUUUUGGUUGAUCCACUAAAGUGUCUCGACUGAUCCGAUAAAGAGUUUUGGUUGAUCCACUAAAGUUUCUCGACUGAUCCGAUAAAGAGUUUUGGUUGAUCCACUAAAGUGGCAUAAUGCCCCGCAAAAACUAAUUGAAUUCUUGUCGUUAUUGACAAAAGUUUUGAGAUAUAUAGUCUCGAUAUUUAAAUAUACUAUAAGUACACCAUUUCUUUUGUUUUAUCUUAAAAUAUAUUCAUUGUACUUUUCUUUUCUGUAAUGACAAAUUACUCGACCAACAACAGUUGGCCGAGUAUUCUAGUUAAUAAGUCACUGAAUAACCAGGGUAAUACAAAUACUCUUUCAUCUAUUUUCCCUACUCGAUUUCUUCAAGUUUGUUAUUGUAUUUUCAGCACAUUGUUUAUGUCCGAAUGGUUACCUCAAGCAUGACCAGUCUUGUUACAAAAUUAUAAGAACUUUAGCGACAUGGGCUGAAGCAACCGUGAGUAAUAAAUAUAUGAGUACCUAAAUUCUACCUUAAACUGAGAAUUAACACCAUUAAUAUUUCUUUCAAUAAUAAUAGAGGUUUAGAUAAGGGUUUGCAGAGAGGUAAACUCUUGUUUUUAUAUAUAUAAAAAAAAAUCAUCAUAGAUACUAUAGGAUUGAAAUUUUAUAUUUGCGUCAGACGCGCGUUUCGUCUACAAAAGACCCAUCAGUGACGCUCAAAACAAUUAAAAAAAAAGGCCAAGUGUAAGUUAGUCUUAUAUACAAGCUGGACUGUGAAUUUUGUUUACAUUCAUAAAGUGUGGUUUUGUUAUGUGACAAAACUCCUCUUUAAAUUCAAGUUGCAAUAGAGUUUAUACAUUGUAUACUGCAAUAGCGUUUCAAUAAUAAUCAACGUAUACAAAAAAAUAGAUGUCUUUAAAAGGCCGGAACUCUCAUAUAACAUGUUUAAUAAACAUACAUACACUAUCAUAAAAUCGCAGGUGUGGAUUCAGGUGGGGCGUGGCGAUAUGAUCCCCCUCUUUAGUGUGCAAAGCAUGGGUUGUCCUCAGCCUAAUACAGAAUAUUUCGAUAAUUUUACAUAAAGAAUUAAGUUUGCGCCACCUAAACCUAAUGACUUGGAUCCAGGGCCGUCCAAAAUCUUGGCAAAGACAACAUUAUUUUGUGUUAUAUAAAGACACGUUUCUAAAAUCACCUGCUGUUGUGGUACAUUUGUGUUUUUCACUUUCAGUCAAUUACGAAUGCCUCUUUUAAUAUACUAUAUGUGAAGGUCUAGAUUUGUACUCUUUUAGGUUUUUUUUGUCAAUUGUUCUCUAUUCAUUGUCAUUUUUUUGCGCAUUAUGUGUUCUUUAUAUUUGAGCACUCAAUUAUUCUCUAUUCUUUAUUUGUUGGCCAAUUUUUCUCUUUUCUUUACCUUUUUUUCUAUUAUUUUCUAUCCUGUUAACCCCAUCCAGACCCUCAUAUUUUUCGGCUUGUUUAUAUCAUAGAUAUACUGCCGAGCAAUGGGAUCAGAACUGGCAAAUUUAGAGACAGUGGUAGAGGAUCAUUUCGUACAUGGAAUGAUAGAAAACCUGGGAGGUAAGAACUGAAGAUACAAUAAAACAACAGUGCAUGGUACUAUGCUAUAAAACCAAUGAGUUUUGAAAUACAAUACUAUCAGCAUUAGAUUGAUUUUGAUUUAGAUUUUUGUUGUUUUAACGCCACUUUUAAGCACCGCAUUUAGGCUAUUUUGUGGCGGCCAGUUUUUAUUGGUGGAUGAAGUCGGAGUGCCUGGAGAAAACCACCGACCUUCGAUUGGAAAACUGACAAUCCUAGUCAAUUAAGAUUGGAGUCGAGUGCAUCCGCAUUGGGAAAAAAAGUCAUUGUUUUGUUAAAAUGUAAUAAAUAUAAGCCGUUGAACAGCCUGCCAUUCAUUCCACGCUAAGAACACAAAAGAAUUGAAUAAUAUUUUAGCAAGAUCAAAUAUGAACAUCAUAAAUAAAAGAGAUGACAAUAUCGACCCCUGUUAUGAUUUUAAGGUAGUUAUGAUCCUCCGAAGUUUUGGCUUGGUGGAAACGAUAUUGUGACGGAGACUGAAUGGAUGUGGGCUAAAACUCAUACCAAGUUUACCUACACAAACUGGGGACCAGGUCAACCUGAUAACAGUCAUAAAGGACUUGGAGAAAACUGUUUAGAACUUUCAAAGAAUCAGGCUUGGAACUGGAAUGAUGAUUACUGUGAACACAGGAUAUAUUUUAUCUGUGAAAGACCGUAAGUACAAAUGUUGAGUGGUGUCAGUAUCCACACAUGAGUUGCAUAUAGCGAUAUGAAACUACAAUUACUUUAAUGCAAGUGCAUAGUGAGAGCCAUUAUAUGGACUUUAAAAAUGUCUUUUAAAACAUUCUUAUUUUAGCAGCUGAAGUGCCAAAUGUGCUGCAAUUAAGAUUGCACAGUAUGCUGCAUUGACUAGUUUAGUUUAUGGAUGAUCGCUACUAGUUUAUGGAUGAUCGCUACUCCUGUUUUUGAUGCUGCAUUGACUAGUUUAGUUUAUGGAUGAUCGCUACUCCUGUUUUUGAAUCAUCUAGUUUAGUUUAUGGAUGAUGAUCGCUACUCCUGUUUUUGAAUCAUCUUGUUUUAUCCAUGUGAUGCCAAUUACAGUUUUUUAACCACUAACUCUUACUUUUCUUUUCAUGAUUUUAUUACAUAUCAGACAUUUUUGAAAAUCUUAUAAAAAUCCUUGUUAUUAUUUCAUGGAUUUUGAAAGAAAAAAAGUAUGAAAAAUGAAGGUAAUAAUUUCCCAACAUAUUUUCAAAUGAUUAUAACUUAAAAACAUGGUCUCUGAUCCAUCAUUUUUAUCUACUUUUUAUUUUUUUAUUUAUAUACUAUCAAUUUAUAACAGUCUUUUAAAAAGUUUGUUACUUUAAAUCAGAAGAGCGAACAUCCUUAAAACAGUCAUUGUAUACAUAGUUUCUUUCAAAAUUAGAUGUGAACAAAAAAUUAAGGGAAUUGUCUAGUAAGAUGUGUUAUCCAAAGUGCUGUACCAUCUUUUGUUCUAGACAUAUGACUUACUCAAAUGUUUUUUUGAUAUUCUGUAAGUUCGAAAUUAUUGCAAGGUUUUUAUUAACGUGAAAAAUGUGACUGGGGUUGUAUCGCAAUAUAAAUAAGAACUGUAUUCUGAUAUCUGAUAUAUAUAUAUAUAUAUAUGUAUACGUUUUUUCUUCUCCUUCUGAAAUCGAACAAAUCACACGUUUUUAAUCCUCCUUCAAAAUCGCAAAAAUUUCCAAAUUUACAGUACUGAGCUAUGUUAAACUAUUGAAAAUCAUUCUGAUUAUUAAAUGUACACAAAUCUACUGCAGAUAAAACUAUUCUAGCUUCGUAGUUGUAGGAAUUGUGGAUAAAGAUGCAACAUUUAGUUAUAAAAAAAUACUAGUACAACUCACCAUCAGUUCGUCGGAAAAACCAUGUUGCCAUCAUAAAUGAUUUGACAAUAAUUGAUUACGGUCAACAACAACUGGUCAUUUAUGGAAAAUUGAAAAAGAAACACAAUUCUUAUGUCAUGCUCACCUUCAUCAUAUGUACUGAAACCCUGUGUAUUAAAAAAAAAAACAAAAAAAACGCCAUGCUUGAAUACUUACAAAUCAUCAUGUACCCAAUGUGGGAGGGAUGCAUGAACAAAUUGACAGACAUAGGUAUAGUUCAAUACAAUCUAACCCUUCUUAUUUUUGUUGCGAUUACAUAACCGACAAGUUGAACGACAAAGUGAUGCACACCAUUAUUUUUUUUUACAGAUCUGAAGAAGUGGAUAGUGGAGAAAUUGUUGGAUAAAUGUAUAAUCACAUAAGAUAAAAAAUAAAAAGGUAAAAACACAACCAUUCGGAUACAAUA
RNAcentral lists this long non-coding RNA (5115 nucleotides) under Mytilus galloprovincialis (Mediterranean mussel). Lineage: Eukaryota; Metazoa; Mollusca; Bivalvia; Mytilida; Mytilidae. The record is from RNAcentral.